RNAcentral lists this ribosomal RNA (460 nucleotides) under uncultured bacterium. RNAcentral's name for it is "partial 16S ribosomal RNA". It matches the Rfam family "Bacterial small subunit ribosomal RNA", at positions 338 to 795 of the family's 1533-position model. The record is from RNAcentral.
CCUACGGGAGGCAGCAGUGAGGAAUAUUGGUCAAUGGGCGCUAGCCUGAACCAGCCAAGCAGCGUGAAGGAUGACUGCCCUAUGGGUUGUAAACUUCUUUUAUAUGGGAAUAAAGUGCAGUAUGUAUACUGCUUUGCAUGUACCUUAUGAAUAAGGAUCGGCUAACUCCGUGCCAGCAGCCGCGGUAAUACGGAGGAUCCGAGCGUUAUCCGGGUUUAUUGGGUUUAAGGGGAGCGUAGGCGGGUUGGUAAGUCAGUUGUGAAAGUUUGCGGCGCAACCGUAGAAUUGCAGUGGAUACUGGCAUCCUGGAGUACAGUAGAGGUAGGCGGAAUUCGUGGUGUAGCGGUGAAAUGCUUAGAUAUCACGAAGAACUGCGAUUGCGAAGGCGGCCUGCUGGACUGUAACUGACGCUGAGGCUCGAAAGUGUGGGUAGCAAACAGGAUUAGAUACCCCAGUAGUC